GUGGGGAAUUUUGGACAAUGGGCGCAAGCCUGAUCCAGCAAUGCUGCGUGCAGGAAGAAGGCCUUCGGGUUGUAAACUGCUUUUGUACGGAACGAAACGGUCCUGGUUAAUACCUGGGGCUAAUGACGGUACCGUAAGAAUAAGCACCGGCUAACUACGUGCCAGCAGCCGCGGUAAUACGUAGGGUGCGAGCGUUAAUCGGAAUUACUGGGCGUAAAGCGUGCGCAGGCGGUGCUGUAAGACAGGCGUGAAAUCCCCGGGCUCAACCUGGGAAUUGCGCUUGUGACUGCAGUGCUGGAGUACGGCAGAGGGGGAUGGAAUUCCGCGUGUAGCAGUGAAAUGCGUAGAUAUGCGGAGGAACACCGAUGGCGAAGGCAGUCCCCUGGGCCUGUACUGACGCUCAUGCACGAAAGCGUGGGGAGCAAACAGGAUUAGAAACCCUGGUAGUCC
Molecule: ribosomal RNA, 450 nt
Filed under: uncultured bacterium
Lineage: Bacteria
Description: partial 16S ribosomal RNA
Rfam family: Bacterial small subunit ribosomal RNA
Source: RNAcentral